AGCCUCUCUUUAUGUUUGAUCCAGCGC
RNAcentral lists this non-coding RNA (27 nucleotides) under Mus musculus (house mouse). The record is from RNAcentral. Lineage: Eukaryota; Metazoa; Chordata; Mammalia; Rodentia; Muridae.